This 256-nucleotide ribosomal RNA is filed under the name uncultured bacterium. RNAcentral describes it as "partial 16S ribosomal RNA". It matches the Rfam family "Bacterial small subunit ribosomal RNA", at positions 521 to 776 of the family's 1533-position model. The record is from RNAcentral.
UAAUACAGAGAGUGCAAACGUUGUUCGGAAUUACUGGGCUUGAAGCGCACGUAGGCGGCAUCGCAAGUGUGGGGUGAAAUCCCACGGCUUACCCGUGGAACUGCCUGGCAGACUGCGGUGCUAGAGUGUGGUAGGGGAGAGCGGAACUCCUGGUGGAGCGGUGAAAUGCGUAGAUAUCAGGAGGAACACCGGUGGCGAAGGCGGCUCUCUGGUCCAUAACUGACGCUGAGGUGCGAAAGCUAGGGGAGCAAACGGG